Rhinopithecus roxellana (golden snub-nosed monkey) is the source of this 157-nucleotide small nuclear RNA. Its record names the gene U4. It matches the Rfam family "U4 spliceosomal RNA". Rfam says of the family: U4 small nuclear RNA (U4 snRNA) is a component of the major U2-dependent spliceosome. The structure of U4 snRNA from yeast and human has been reported. NCBI's taxonomy places the organism in Eukaryota, Metazoa, Chordata, Mammalia, Primates, Cercopithecidae. The record is from Ensembl.
AGCUUUGCACAGUGGCAGUAUCGUAGCCAGUGAGCUUUACCCGAGGCGCGAAUAUUGCUAGUUAAAUAUUUAUAAAAACCUUUCGAGCAGCACCUGAACAAGAAUAGGUUUAGAGGAGCUCUGGUCGUCUGAGUUUGUGCUUGUCCCAGGGUGGGGA